This 85-nucleotide transfer RNA is filed under the name Felis catus (domestic cat). It matches the Rfam family "tRNA". From Rfam's summary of the family: Transfer RNA (tRNA) molecules are approximately 80 nucleotides in length. Their secondary structure includes four short double-helical elements and three loops (D, anti-codon, and T loops). Further hydrogen bonds mediate the characteristic L-shaped molecular structure. tRNAs have two regions of fundamental functional importance: the anti-codon, which is responsible for specific mRNA codon recognition, and the 3' end, to which the tRNAs corresponding amino acid is attached (by aminoacyl-tRNA synthetases). tRNAs cope with the degeneracy of the genetic code in two manners: having more than one tRNA (with a specific anti-codon) for a particular amino acid; and 'wobble' base-pairing, i.e. permitting non-standard base-pairing at the 3rd anti-codon position. The record is from Rfam by way of RNAcentral. Lineage: Eukaryota; Metazoa; Chordata; Mammalia; Carnivora; Felidae.
ACCUGGGUGGCUCAGUGGGUUGAGCAUCUGACUUCUGCUCAGGUCAUGAUAUCACGGUUUGCGGGUUCGAGCCCCGUGUCAGGCU